This 484-nucleotide ribosomal RNA is filed under the name uncultured bacterium. RNAcentral's name for it is "partial 16S ribosomal RNA". It matches the Rfam family "Bacterial small subunit ribosomal RNA", at positions 29 to 507 of the family's 1533-position model. The record is from RNAcentral.
AUUGAACGCUGGCGGCAGGCCUAACACAUGCAAGUCGAGCGGAUGAAGGGAGCUUGCUCCUGGAUUCAGCGGCGGACGGGUGAGUAAUGCCUAGGAAUCUGCCUGGUAGUGGGGGAUAACGUCCGGAAACGGGCGCUAAUACCGCAUACGUCCUGAGGGAGAAAGUGGGGGAUCUUCGGACCUCACGCUAUCAGAUGAGCCUAGGUCGGAUUAGCUAGUUGGUGGGGUAAAGGCCUACCAAGGCGACGAUCCGUAACUGGUCUGAGAGGAUGAUCAGUCACCGUGGAACUGAGACAAGGCCCAGACUCCGACGGGAGGGGGAAGGGGGGAUUAUGGGAAAAGGGGGAAAAGCCUGAACCAGCAAUGCCGGGUGUGGGAAGAAGGUUUGCGGAUAGUAAAGCUCUUUAAUUGGGGAGGAAGGGAAGUAAGUAAAUCCUUGCGUUUUUUGACGUAACAAAAAAAAAAAGCCCCGGCUAACUUCGUG